Molecule: long non-coding RNA, 5055 nt
Organism: Chelonia mydas (Green sea turtle)
Lineage: Eukaryota; Metazoa; Chordata; Testudines; Cheloniidae
Exons: 3
Source: RefSeq, a predicted model, not a curated record
GGGAGGCCCAGGUGAAAGGAGCUGGAGGAGAGGAAGCACUGCUGAACCCCAAGUUGUCCCCACUGCUGGAAGAUGGUCUUGGCUAUAUCAGGGUGACGGGACCACUUGCGGUGAGAGGAGAAAGAUCUGCUGAGGUGAUCUUCCAGAUUGAUCUGGGCUCCUGGAAGGUCUUGGCAUGGCAACGGAGCCAAGAACCAGAUCCGUUGUUGAGGCCUCAAGUGUUUCCUCGAAGGCGCCAGGGCAUAGAGAUCCAGGCACAUGAAGAUGGCUCUAGAAUCCUUUAGGCCAUGAAGCUUUGCAUCAGUUUGUUUGGAGAACAACAAAGUGCCUUCCAACAGAAGGUCCUGGAUGGACUAUUGGACCUCCAUUGGCAGACCUGAGAAUUGGAGCCAAAAGCCUCUGUGCAUGACCACCGCAGAAGCCAUGGAUCUAGUCACCAAAUCUGUUGCAGCCAGGGAGGCCUGUAGUGACGUCCUGGCCACAGACUUUCCUUCCUCUAACAAAACGGAGAACUCCUGUCUUGACUCCUGGGGAAGAGAGUCCUUGAACUUCAUCACUGAUUCCCAGACAUUAAAUUGCAUCUCACCAGCAACACCUGCUGGUUGGAAAUGCUGAGUUCUGGAUCCCCUGUAGCAUGAACCUUUCUGCCAAAAAGGUCUAGUCUCCUUGCAUCUUUUGCUUUGAGGGUCAUUCCUUUCUGGCCCUGUCUGUCCCUCUCAUUGGCCUCUGAGACCACCAGGGACCCCAGAGGGUGAAAGGAGUACAAUUACUCAAAGCUUUGAGCUGGACAAAAGUACUUCUUUUCAGCCCUUUUUGUGGUGGGAGGCAGGGAGGAUGGGGUUUGUCAUAGGGCUUUAAUAGAUCCCAUAAUGCCCUCAUUGAGGGAGGGCCACCUUUGAUGGGCCCACAGCAGUCAAGAUGUUGACCAUACAUUUGUAAACUUUAAAUCCUGUUCAUUUUCCACUUAUCUUUAGUUUAGGAGCCUUGUUAAUUUUCAAUUUUGCCUGGAUGAUUCUGAAAUAAUUAGACUUUUGUGGCACAUUAUGUAUAGAGACAUAAAGAUUUAAUAACAAAUAAAAGUAAUACUAUUUUAUAAUAAAACAGUAUUGUUAAAUAAUAUAAUUUCAUCAGAAAGAGGGGUAGAAAUUCAUUGUUUAGGCAUACGCCGUGCAUAUGUUUCAUCAAUAGCAAAAGGUCGGGUAUAUUAUCUCCUAAUGGACUUAGUUUUCUCUACAGCUAUUGUAUUGUUUCUGGUUUCACAAAUGUAAUCUGUGAAAGCCCUGUCUGCACAGCAGUUACUUGCACGAGCAAUUUAUCAUUUUUGACAGAGUUAGUCACUCUGCUGGAACUGAUAGAGCUAUGAACCCUCCCCAUGAUCCAGUUAAACAUGUUUUUCACAUACUGAACCCUUUUCCUGUUGGUCCUCCUCUCCUCUGUACCUGCUGUGCCAUUGUUCUUGAAUUUCUUCUCCACUGGAGUAAAUGGAAUGAUAGGAAGUACUUUGGUAAGUCCAGAUGCACAGCAGACGUGUUAUUCCUCAAUGUAUCUGCAAUGCUCAGCAGCAAUUAAAGCAGCCUGGUACUAAAAAGAACAGUGCCUUCCUCAUUGUUGCUCUUGUUUAUUUUGCAUUAGUGACAAAUGAAUUCAAUCAAUUCCUUUUUUUCUCCCUAUCCCAUCCUUUUAAAAAAAAAACAAAAAACUUCCAAUUGAUUUGCCUUGUUUUAUGCUGGACAUGACACAAAAGCAACAAUUCUUUUAUAUCUGUUUAAAAAAUAAACCAGUUCCGAUGCCUGUCCUCCAGGGUGGUAUAUUAUAAUUUAAGAAAUACUUAGUGAAUGGCACCUCUAAUCCAUAACUCCCUUUGCUGACUUAUUCUUUGAGGUUGAGGAAACCUGGCUUACAAAUAAGGGUUAAUAACUGCCUUUUACAGCCAAAAUAAAAAAAUGUUUUCAAGAGUCUAAUGAUGUUUCUGUGCUGCACAAUAGGGUUCCAGUAAAGCUGGUUGACCAAACCAUAUUCCUGGUGUGACGGACCCAGACCAGUUGAGUGUCUGGUAGAAGACAAAUAUACUGGCCACUGGAUGAAGUUUUCUGUUCCCUGAGUGACCAGAGCAUGGGCUGCCCUACAGCAAUCAUUUGUGACCUGACAGCCAAAGAAGGGUUCUUAGUGAUAAAAUGCACUUCAUCCAUUAAUUGACAAUCCAGAAAUCCACAUUAUCACAAGAAAAUAUAUUUCUUAUUGCCAGAAGGAAAUUCAACUGACCACCAGCAAGAGCAGCCAUCUAUUAGACUCUGAACACAGUAUUCCUCACUCCAAUUUCAUACUGUCACAGACAUUUGCAGCAGCAGAAUCACAUGGCUAUUGUGUAGCUGUGAUGCUGCUUAGAAGGACUUCCAUCUUGAAUGGUCCCUUGCAAGUCUUCCCUUGGCACGAGUCAGCAUGGGGGGAUUUAGGCCCAGCAACCAUGUUUUUGCUCUGUACAACAGAGUAAUCAUCACUGUCAUGUUGGAUACUCAUAACAGAGGCCUUUGUAAAGGCUGAAAAGGCAUUGAUGCUCAACCUAUCUGAGACUUCUUUGGUUAUAGAACCUCCUACUGUCAAUUGACUACCCAGAUAGAUGAAGUUAUUCACACAUUCAAUAUCAUUGCCAUCUAGAUAGAAUGUUGGCAGGUCAAUCAUUUCCAAUUUGUGGGAGGCAUGCUCAACUUUGGUUUUAUCUUAAAUCCCAUAAAGGACCAUUGCUGUAGUUGGUCUAUAGUCUCGCCAAGUAAGGCAAUAUCAUUCACAUAUUCAAAAUCCUGUAAAGACGAAUCUUUCAAUUUCAUACCUACUUUGGCCUGAAACAGCUUUGUCAUCAGAUAAUCUAUUAGAACAUUAAAUAAUAUAGGUGAGAGAAUGAAUCCCUGGCAUACUUUGAUUUUACUAAAACCAGUCUGUAAUACAAGCAUUGACCCUCACACAGCUAAAUAUGUCAGGGUAUAGUUCCUCCACUAUUCACACAAAGUCUUCUGUCAUCCCAUACUGGUGUAGAACUAUCUCUAGUGCUGAUUGAUGCACUGAGUCAAAAGUGGCUGCAAAGUCUACAAACACAAUGUUAACUUCCUUUUGUCAAUCUAGUAGUUUCUCAGUAACAUUGCACAGAUCAUAUAUAGUAGGGAUUGUAGAUCAACCUGUACGGACGCCAUUUGGGAUGUCUCUGACCUUUGGAUUGAGACAGUAUUUCAGUCUGUUCACAGUAGUAUGAUUGCAAACAUCUGCCCUGGGAUGGACAGCAGCAUUAUUCCCCUAUAGAUACCUACAUAUAACAAAAUCCAAUCACUGGAAGUUGAAACUAGGCAAACUCAGACUGUAAAUAAAGGUGUAAAAUGUUCAUGGUGAGAGUAAUUAACCACUGGAACAAUUUACCAAGGACUGUGAUGGAUUCUCCAUCGUUGACAAUUUUUAAAUCAAGAUUUAAAAAUAUAUAUAUAUUCUCUAGGAAUGAUUUUGUCAGUUCUAGGUCCUGUGCUAUACAGGAGGUUUGACUAGAUGAUCACAAUUGUUGCUUCUGGCCUUAGAAUAUGUGAAUCUUUGAUUCUAUAAUUAUAGCAAUUUGAUCACUUUUUUUUUUUUUUUUUUUUUAAACAGGGAUGUUACAACCCCUUCUCCAAAUUUCUGGAAUGUGACCUGUUUCCUAAACUUUUAGGAUGACUCUAUGGAAGAGUGAACUAAAUACAGGGAUCCCUUCUUAAGCAGAAAUACAUAUAGGAGGCCAAUUAAACAUCCUUUAAUCAGGGCAGGAUUGUUCCCCAGAGUAAUAGGCUCUUGUGCUUUAACAAAUCAACUUUAAAAAAAAUAACACUGGGGUUUCCACAGGUUCCAUUGGUAAAUUAUUCUGUGUUGUAAUAGAUACUUGAUUUUUUUUUUUACUGUUAGAGCAAAAAUUCUUCCCAUCACUUCCAGUUAUAACCUCUGGCUCCACAAAUAAUUCUGAUUCCUCCUUGGUGUUUACACUCUUCAAAUGCUAGGGUGUUUGUAAUUCUCUUUUGGUCUAGAUACACUCUGCAUGAUUGUAUGUACAAUCUGCCCAGAGGAAGGGGCAGAGCACAGAUGUGUUGCCACAUGAGCAGACCACAAAUUGUCUUCAGUUAUUUAGCAAAGCCAUAUGUAUAUAGUUAUUUUAAUCUCUAAUUAUGUCUUUCCAUCCAGCCUCUAAAUCAUUAUUUUACAUUAUAUGUGGUUUCACUGACAAAAUACAGAGAAGUAUCAUCAUCAGCCUGGUCAGUCAUGUGAAGCGCUUGCAAAUGGUGCUGAAAAGUGGCUUGAUAUUUUGCUGUUAUACCAUAUUGCAAUUGUGAUGUUGGCAGACCGGGUGCCAGCUCAUGCCAAGGCCCGGGGCUUCACUGAACACUGACAAAUGCACAGCUGGAAACCAGUCUAGCUUACUUUGGGGUUUGUAUAGUUAAAAUAGAUAUUAGUGUUAUAAGGAUGUGUUUAGUCUUUAGACUUUAGUGAAUGUUUGUAGGACACUGCAUGUAUUAAUCCUACUUAUAAUAUCAGUAUUCCAUAGUACAAAGUUAUGCUGAGUGUUCGCAUUGUAAACCUCUGUAAUUCUGUAACUCACAAAACAGGAAAAGAAGCAUUAAUUAAGGUAAAGUGCUCGCCCUGCAUGCAAAAUGUCCUGUUGGAGGCAAAUGAGGCAGUCUGCAUCAUCAAAGGACAGAGAGCUUGUCGACUGCAUUCUUCUCUCCCUCCAUAAAUGGGGGGGUUGUACAUGAAUUCAUCCAAUCAACUUGGAUUCUGGGGUGUAGGGGAUAAAAAUCUCUGACAAGGAGAACCUGGGUCUCUUUAUUCUGUAUGGACUCUGGGGGGAAAGAUUCCUGAACAUAAGCAAGUAAUAUGCUGCUUGGCAUGCAUCAGCGCGAAAGGAUGUAAAGGGUUUCUUAUUAUAGAAGCUUAUAUCACCUUUUUAAAUGUAAGACUAUAACUCAUUUGUGUGUGUGUAGAUUUCCUGUUUUAACCUUGUAAAUAACUCUCAUUUAUUUUCUUAGUUAAUAAAUCUUUAGUUAGUUUGUU